UUAAUGGAGAGUUUGAUCCUGGCUCAGGAUGAACGCUGGCGGCAUGCCUAACACAUGCAAGUCGAGCGGCAGCAUGCUCACUGAAUCUUUCACGCGUUUGGAAGGUUUUGUGAGUGAUGGCGAGCGGCGGACGGCUGAGUAACGCGUGGGAAUCCACCCCAAAGUGAGGGAUAACGCACCGAAAGGUGUGCUAAUACCGCAUAUGGUCUUCGGAUUAAAGUUUUAACGCUUUGGGAGGAGCCCGCGUCGGAUUAGAUAGUUGGUGAGGUAAUGGCUCACCAAGUCGACGAUCCGUAGCUGGUCUGAGAGGAUGAUCAGCCAGACUGGAACUGAGAUACGGUCCAGACUCCUACGGGAGGCAGCAGUGAGGAAUAUUCCACAAUGGGCGAAAGCCUGAUGGAGCAAUGCCGCGUGCAGGAUGAAGGCCUUCGGGUUGUAAACUGCUUUUAUAUGAGAAGACUAUGACGGUAACAUAUGAAUAAGGACCGGCUAACUACGUGCCAGCAGCCGCGGUCAUACGUAGGGUCCAAGCGUUAUCCGGAGUGACUGGGCGUAAAGAGUUGCGUAGGCGGUUAUGUAAGCGAGUGAUGAAAACUAUCGGCUCAACCGAUAGCCUAUUAUUCGAACUGCAUAACUCGAGAGUAUCAGAGGUCGCUGGAAUUCCUAGUGUAGGAGUGAAAUCCGUAGAUAUUAGGAGGAACACCAAUGGCGUAGGCAGGCGACUGGGAUAUUUCUGACGCUAAGGCACGAAAGCGUGGGGAGCGAACCGGAUUAGAUACCCGGGUAGUCCACGCCGUAAACUAUGGAUGCUAAUUGUUUGGGGUAUCGACCCCUCGAGUAAUAAAGCUAACGCGUUAAGCAUCCCGCCUGUGGAGUACGGCCGCAAGGCUAAAACAUAAAGGAAUUGACGGGGACCCGCACAAGCGGUGGAGGAUGUUCUUUAAUUCGAUGCUAAGCGAAGAACCUUACCAGGGCUUGACAUCCCUUGAAUUUCUCCGAAAGGAGAGAGUGCUUUAUUGAACAAGGUGACAGAUUCUGCAUGGCCGUCGUCAGCUCGUGUCGUGAGAUGUUUGGUUAAGUCCAUCAACGAGCGCAACCCUUGUGAUUAGUUGUAUUUUUCUAAUCAGACUGCCCCGGUAACGGGGAGGAAGGAGGGGAUGAUGUCAGGUCAGUAUUGAUCUUACGUCCUGGGCUAGAAACGUCCUACAAUGGCCGGUACAACGGGCAGCUAACCCGCGAGGGGGAGCAAAUCCCAUCAAAGCCGGUCCCAGUUCGGAUUGCAGGCUGAAACUCGCCUGCAUGAAGUCGGAAUCGCUAGUAAUCGCAGAUCAGCACGCUGCGGUGAAUACGUUCCCGGGUCUUGUACACACCGCCCGUCAAACCAUGAAAGUCAGGAGCACCCGACGUCCGAAUUUAUUUCGGCCUAAGGUGAGCUUGGUGAUUGGGGUUAAGUCGUAACAAGGUAUCCGUACCGGAAGGUGCGGAUGGAUUACCUCCUUU
RNAcentral lists this ribosomal RNA (1500 nucleotides) under Candidatus Saccharimonadota bacterium. RNAcentral's name for it is "bacterial SSU rRNA". It matches the Rfam family "Bacterial small subunit ribosomal RNA". The record is from RNAcentral. Lineage: Bacteria; Candidatus Saccharimonadota.